GACAGAGGUGCCGAGCGUUAGGCGGAAUCACUGGGCUUAAAGCGUGUGUAGGCGGGUCGUUUAAGUGUCUUGUGAAAUCCCACCGCUCAACGGUGGAACUGCUGGGCAUACUGGCGAUCUUGAGCCACCUAGGGGCAGACGGAACAAGCGGUGGAGCGGUGAAAUGCGUAGAUAUCGCUUGGAACGCCGACGGUGAAAACAGUCUGCUGGGGGUGUGCUGACGCUGAGACACGAAAGCCAGGGGAGCGAACGGG
RNAcentral lists this ribosomal RNA (254 nucleotides) under uncultured bacterium. Its description in RNAcentral is "partial 16S ribosomal RNA". It matches the Rfam family "Bacterial small subunit ribosomal RNA", at positions 524 to 776 of the family's 1533-position model. The record is from RNAcentral.